Molecule: long non-coding RNA, 10592 nt
Filed under: Mytilus galloprovincialis (Mediterranean mussel)
Lineage: Eukaryota; Metazoa; Mollusca; Bivalvia; Mytilida; Mytilidae
Source: RNAcentral
GUUUUUAUCUAAAGAAUUGAUAAUAAUAGCAAACGACCACAUUAAUGUAUGUAUUACGAGUUAUCAGAGGUUUGAAAGUCUGUUCUUCGAAUUAGAUUUGUUUCUACAUUACACGUUACAUACUUGUUAUUGCAAACUUGUUUCUUUAUAAUUUGUAGGAUUAUUUCCAUCUAAGAAAUAUGGCGUUCAUGAGUAAUUUGACAAUUCAAAUAAACAGUACUCGGAAUGAGACGGCGACCAACGACACACUUCAAUCUCAGGUAUUUAUGAUUUUUAAAGUCAAACAAGUAAUACUGCAAUCUUAACCAUUAAAAAAUGAAAACAACACUAUAUAAAUUGCAUGCGUUUGAUUCAGUUCUAUUGAUUUAACAUUAUAUAAAAUAAAAUAUAUCAGUAAACGUAUUGUUUUAUUUGAAGUUUUCUUAAUGUUUUUUUUUUGUUUUUUUUUGGGGUGGUAAGGAGGGGGGGGGGGGUAAGUUGGUGCUUUUGCUAAUUGAACAUUGACUAUAGGCCUCGGAUCGUUUGAGAGUGUGCUGCUUCAUUACAGCCUAAUGACGGCCAUACGGUGACAAACCGUUCCUUACAUGCACGACAUGUGUCUUAUAAGCGAUUUUGAUCUCAUUAGCACACAGUGCGUUGUCAUAGAAGGAGAGAAGUCUGACUUCAUAAAUGUAGAGUCGGUAGUCCCACAUGUCAUAAUUUUGUAUUGAAGGGUCAAAAUGGGUUUGUGUCAUGAACAUAGGCCAGUCAUAAAGUCACAAUGAGUUAUUACAUUUCAUGAAGCAUUCUCGACAUAAAUUGUUUGAUAUAACGAUUUGAUGAUACGUGUUCUUACCUAGAUAACGUACUCCUGGAUUAUAGCACGAACAUUUUUCAAAUGUAAAAGGAAAAGGUUAACUCAGAAUCUGUUUUUUGUAUUGUAGUUUUUUGAGUCUGUGUUAGUGCUUUGAAAAGUCUUAUAUAGAAUUAUAUAUUUAUAAUUUGUUCUAGACAUGCUAGAGCACACUCAACAUACUGUAAACGCACUUAAAAUCGUGGGUAUCAGUGUUCGUGGUUUGAGCAACAUUUACAUGUUCAUGGGGUGUUAAAUUAGUGAAUUAUAGUUUCUAUCAUAGCAUAUCAAUACCGGAAGUCUGACUUUCAUUGAUCACAAAUAUUUAUUUUUUUUUAUGAACACAAAUAUUUUUUUAUGAACAUCAACAGAUCAAAAGUUGUUCUGUUUAGGUUUUUAAAGAUUAAAUGGGUAUAUAGUGCGUUUGCCCUGUCAAGGUGGGUAUAGUUGUCCUGCGAGAGAACGUUCUGUGCUGGUGAUUCGGUCCUGACGGGUGCUGGUGAUUAAUGAAAAAAAUGUAAACAAAGACGAAAAUGAUGAUUUUUGACGUUUUCACUCAUAAAAAAUGGAAGAAAACAGUUGAGAUUUUUCAAUUUUGUUUCUUAUGGGUUCCUAUAUAAACCAUUAAAAAGUUGACCCUCUAAACUGUUUCAGUAAGCGUAACACAAAAAUGCUCAUUUUCAGAAAAUCUCGAACUGAAAAAAAAAAUAAACAAAAAUGCUCAUAGAGUCCGCUUUCUAUACCGCAAUCCACACGACAAAACUAUUUUGUGAAAAAACAUUGCAAUUUAUUAAAAUUUAGCAUUUUCUCAAUUUAUAUUCAUGUCCUGAUACUGUGCUGGUGGGUCCUGUCAUUGUGCUGGUGGGUCCUGAUACGGUGCUGGUGAUUUUGGAUAAGAAGUUGGUCAUAUUUGAAACAAAUGUUACAAAAUCAAUAAAAUUGGGCAGAUAAUUGUUGUCAAUAGGAUCUAUGACUCCUAUUUUAGCUUGUGUGCAUCCAUUUGGCUGUUUAAUAUAUGUUUUCAAAUGAUCGUAACUUGUAUUACAUAAUUACAUAAAAGGGCAACAUCUUUCGUCCAAUAUCAGAUAACAAUAUAUAGUAUCUAAAAUAAGAAUAGUUUUAUUAAGAUAUUAAAUGCCCCUUACAUUGAUGCUUCAACAAUGAUCAAAGCCCAUGCCGCAUAGACAUGUUUGUUAGCGCUCCGCAUACCCCUCCCCACUUCUACCCAACCAACCCUUCUCAUUUCCUCCUUCAUUGUUACAGUGGUGUACUAACACAACAAUUUAUCACAUAAAAUAAUAACACAAAGACACACAUUAUUGAACAACGAAUGCUCGCAGGUACUGAAAGCUAGUUCAAAGCCGCAUUUCAACACAAUGAAUUGAACACAUAUCUAAAAUAUUUCCGACCAACUGACUAUAUGAUAUAUGUACAUUUAAUUUGUCUCAUAAUAUUGUUUCUCUUAGGAGAAAUAUAUAGAAGCGUAAGAUACAUGUGCUAGAAUGUUUGUAUUACUUAUCAUAGUCUAGUAGUUACAUAGUGAUCUGAGUGUUAACGUCUUUGCUUUAUGAUUCUAGUAGUGAACAUUUAUGCCCAAUAAUAUAUUGGUUCGAGAGUGAUCUAUGUGCCAUCUCGUACAGUUGUUCGCUGUAGAGAGUAAUUGGUCUACCUGUCAUAAGCCUGUCAUACCGUGAGAGGAGCAGUGUGUAUCACAGCGCAAGAUGCCAGACUUUCGGUUUUUGCAAGCGUUGAUACGUUUUGUUUUAAAUAUACUUGUGUAUAUUCAAGUUAAGAUAAGUAGACAUACAGACGUGCGAGAGCGUAGGUAUUAUACUUGUAUUCUUUAAACUAUUAAUAAAUGAUAUUUCUUGUGUAACCAGAGAAUAAUUUCUUGAGUGAAUGAAACGUGAAAGUGGUAUAUACAAUUUAAUAAUUUAAAAUAAAUUUAGUACUAGUAUUAUAGAUUUUGUGUGGCGCGAGGCAUCCGUGUUAUUCGUUAUAUUCUGAUUCUAUGAAAUUUUUCUGAAAUGUGCAAGUAUUACAGUGUACCAUGCUAAAGUAUAGAUCUUGCUAUUUUGAUAUAUACAAAUCCUUGCUAUUUUGCUGCAUAGCUCUUUAUAUGACAGUAACUAUAUUGACUUAUAUUUAAGACGUGUCCUAGAUCUCACUAUGUGAGCAUGGAAGACAUAAGAUAGUGGCCAUAUAUGUAUCUUUUGGUUUUGAUCCUAUAGCAACUUGCUGAACAGAAAAGUACAUGUUAUAUGAGGUUAUUGUGCGAGUUUAUAUACCUAACUCCCUAUCGUGUUAAGAGCACUUAAUACACGUCAAAAAUAGAGCACGAGUACUGUCUCUAUGUCUUUGGAGCAUCUCUCAGUGACACUACAUAUCGAUAAGUUGGAGUGAGUAGUUAGAUAUAGCCAUUGUGACACCUAUUACAAAUAAUGACAUAUCUCAAGGUGUUAUACAAAACAAGCAUAGUGAACUAACCAAGAGAAUUAUUCAUGGGUGGAAUAUAUGAUUAGAUAUUAUGUCCCUUAUUGUUUAACACUUAUACCUAUUGACUCAAAACAUGUGAAUCGUCAUGGAUAAACUACAUAAAUAUACGGUCAGUUACGUUUUAUUACAUUUCCAUAUCUAGUUGGUUCUAAUGCUUGUCUUUACUAGCGAUGAUCCAGAUAAUUGUGGCCUUGAUCGAACUCUCCUGUUAAUCAUAUAUUGGAUACAUAUAUGGUCAAGAAUUUCUCUCCUAAGACAGAAAGAUAAUACUUGGUUGAGUUAAUUUCCUAGGACUCGACCUUGUAUGACUAUAUAUAUAUGUGAUUUUCGAUACAUACACACCCUCUGAAUAUUCAAGUAGAGUAGCUGUAUAUAUAGACGACCUCAUUUAUAUGCUUCUCGGAGGUGUCGGGCUGGUGAGUAGCUCUUAGCAAGAGUUGAGAUAUUUAUGUCUAGACUUCGUUGUUUGUGUAUAUUUUUGGGUGAUAUGAUUUUAUACAUAAACGUGUGAGGGCACAGACAAUUAAGAAAAUGUCAUUUCUCGUGCGACUUACUAGAUAAGACAAAGACUUCUUUCAUUUACUACCAGUUAAAGCAGAAAGAGGAGUGAACUGAUUUAUAGUGUUUAAACACUCUAAAUUUAUUCUACAUAGUAUAGAUGGAAAUCAAUAUUAUUGUCAUUGAAUACUAUUUCGUAAUACCCUACUAGUCCACAUAUUGGUGAGGGACGGGGAUGGAGUUUGUGUUAUUUAUUAUAUAUUGGGGAGAUCGACAGUGGGGUAUGAGUUCUAAGUCUAUUGCAUGGUCCUGCUGUAGACCCUGGAUAAAAUCUAUAAAUGGACCUACUCUUUUUAUCUCCGAUACCUACUGCGCAGACAAAUGGAAUUGCCCUUAAACUGAUUCACAAGAACUGACAAAUUGUAUUACUACCUGAGAGCACGUUCCAUACAACAUAUAUAUGGCAGCGGCUAUUACGAUUCGUUGACUGAGUCGAGUCUGUUACACUUCCCAUCCUUAUCCAACGCACAAUAUUCUCUGCUCAAGGAUAAAAUAGUGAAUACUUAAUACCUAAUUUACAUCUUCUGAACUACUCUCGACCCGCAUGCGGGCUGCGAUGUGCAUAUUUUUAUAAGUUUGUGGUGAGAAGUGUUCUUUGAGAGAGACCAUCGGUGGCAGAAGUUACAGCAGAGCACGAGCUAUACGCAUAUGAUAACAAUAUACAAGGCGUAGUUUAAUGAUUGACAUUGUAUAUCAUAGGUCUCUCUUGCUAAACUGACGUAUCUCUGAAGACACCUGUGUGACAUAACUCUGAAAUAGCAAUGAGUGUUUUGUGUAAUAUCUGUGCUUUUAUUAACUCCCUUUUCUCAGUGAUAUCUUAUAUAUAUUAAUAUUGCGAUUUACAUGCAAUAAGCCAAAAUAUUGUCAAUAAUAAUAAAAUACUCAGUCGUUAAAGACUUACAGUUCUCAUAUAGAGGUAACAAUCAUAAGAAAACUCGAGAGUCGACAGAAAACAUGAUGAGUGAAAUGAUGUACAAUAAUACAUAUUGGAUAGCGAGAUCAAUUCUCCACCAGAUAAGAUGUAGAUGUGCUGUUGCUGACCGAUACUAUAAAUAUCUUAAAACGUCUUAUUGUGAUACUAUUAAGUCCAUAUAUCAACAACUAAUAACAAGUGUUAAGAUUUACAUAUAGAAGUUGAGAGACUUUUUACCACUAACAUUACAUAUACAAUUAGUGCACAAUUAAUUCUAAAAUAGUGAUAACAAAACAGACACUAAUGAAUAUUUCUAUAUAUCGAUAAAAAUAUAUAUAGAUCUCCUCAGAAAUAAUUACAGAGGCAACUUACGUAAGCUGGUAAGGGACGCCAGCAAUAUUUGCUUCUCAUCGUCAUACGCGUCCUCAACGCUAUGUAACCAUCAAUUUAUAAUCAAACAAGCGUUAAAAGGUAUAUUAUAUUUUACUCUUACUGAGAGAUUCAUCAAAUAGUGAUAGAUAAUAAGCUGAAAGAACAUCUUGUUUUGAGUUAGUGUAUGUUCUCUAGGGUUCAUGAGACUACAUGUGCAGUAUCCCUUAAGUUACAUCAUAGACUCUAACUAAAUACCAUAAGUGUUCUGCCCUAUAUCUUCAUCAAUAAAUAGUGAAUUUUUUAUAAUUAGCGUACUAUAUUCUCUGAAAAUAGACUUAUAAUCUCACUGUAUAUAAUCUCCAAAUUCAGACAAAAAAAUAAUACUGUAUGAAAAAAUCUGUACAGAAUAGCGUGAUCUUAUGCUAGCUGUGACUUUAUAUCUAUAUAUAGUGAGGCGAUAUAUCGUGUUAAAAUAUGCAACUGUUUACGAAGAAAUCUCGUGUGUCACGAAUACAUCCAUCUUAUCGACUUAAUAAGACUUUCCCACAGAUAUAACACUCGUCUCUAUUCUAUACCUAUCCCCACAUAUCCCAUCUCGCCCGUAUCACGUAUAAUUAAUAAAUUAUCCACCCCAACAAGAAACCAAACCCAGCAAUUAUUCUUUUUUUGGCUAGAUACUUAAUGUAGGUCCGCACUUCGAGAAUUACAUUCACAUACAAUACUAUGUUUUACACUAAAGACAAAAUUGAUCCCCAUCACGCUUCCGACCUUCGUCCUCUGUCUCCUAUUUCUGCUCUCACUCUUUUAUGCAAAACCUUUACAUCUUCUAUUUAUGGUCAUUGCGUUGCAGGGUCGUCGUGACGACGUUUAUGUUGUUAACACAUACUUCCUUUGGUUCUUAAUGGAAAAAUCUUUGUCCCUCAUCUCACAACAAACAUACCACCCCUAGCAACUAUACAUUUCAAAUGGUUCGUCCCCUUAUAUUAUAAGGAUUGAGUGGAGUUAUAAAUUACAACGAUAUUUUGUGUUGCGCUGUCUUAAAAUUAUUCAUUAAUCCCGAUGCAACUCUGAUAAACAUAUUCUUAAUCUUUAAUAAUGGGAACUAAAGAAAAGUGCGAGUGAGCUUCUCUAAUUACGAGCUAAAACCUAAUCUUUAUUCCACUUCAUUAUGAGUUGAAACACAUACAUGAAUCAUAAAAUGUGAAGAGGAUAAGUUGUGGUGCCUAUUUGUGUAUUCGUGCGUCAUAAUAUAUACUCAGUAAACAGAUUACUACAACUCUCAUGUUCUGAACACUUCAUAGAAUUCUCUAGAAGACAAACAGUUAUAAUCACUACACAUAAUGAUAACAUGUACCACUAGAGCAAUCCAAAUAGAUAUACUUCGAGAAUGCAUUAUAGCCUAGCCGUUUAAACGUAAUAUAACAUAAUGACGCAGGUUCUACUAGUUAACACCAGCUGACAUAAGAGUAGACCAACAAGACUACGACUCCAUCUUUCUUAUUCUUAAUCAAUAGCACAGCGACGACUGAGACGUUACAUGGACAUAUAUCCAGUGGUUUGUGAUACGAGACUUGUCACGUACUUUUAACCAAAUAUUGAAAUAUUGUUGUAAUAUCUUUGCAGAUACUUAUGACGCAUAGAGAAAAAUAGCUAACAAACAGUCGUUUUUUGCCGUUCUGAUACAAAGAAACAAACCACCAGACAGAAUCAGGACCCACCAGCACAUGACAGAACUCAAAUUACACACAGCAACAGAAACGUUCCUCUCGCAGAACAAACCAAAUAUGCACCACGCGUCUGCCUAUGUUGGACUGUACCUAUUAUUUCUCUUACAUCAUAUCAGCAGUCAAAACCUUUGUGGUGUGUAUCUUUCCAUAUCUUGAUUUUAGACAUACGAUACGUUUUGGUCGUUUCGCUCUAAUUAAGAAUGCGACUCAUAGAUAGACUGUUCACUUCAUCACAAAAACCACGAUAAAUUGCGUUCCCCCACGACUAUUUAAAUUCGUACUGUUCCCAUUCUACUAUUUAAUUAUAUUAUCUCAAAUAUGUAGUUACGUAGUUAUUUUUAAUGAGUCGUCUCUAUGUAUGAUAUAAGCAGACAUGCGUCCUUACGUGAAAAUCAAUUACAUAUGUCAAGGUAGGCUGUCAUACAUACAAACAUAUCUAUUAGAUAUCAAAUAUCACAACGAACUCUGCAUUGGACUCUUGAGCCCAUGAGUCCUUUUAAAUUUUCAAGACAUUUAAAAUCAUAAUCGAGGUAUCCAAUAGAAUACAAUUACUAAAACUUCUUUAACACCUCAUAUAAUCUAUUCUAAAUUACUUGUAUUCGGUUUCGGACUUUAUUUUGUUUCGUGUGAAACAUGAAAAAGAGAGUAAGAUAUGUAAUCUCUCGUAUUGUCAGCAUAUAUCUACACAUGUAUACAUAUAUCUUAUUAUCUGUAGUUGAAACGAUCUACCCAAAGUUUCUUUGUGGUCUGAUUAAAAUGUAGAACAAUUCGAAUCGUCUGGUGACGUUAUGUAGACUGUAUAUAUAUAUCGCGCGUUGCUCCUGGGUGAUGUAAUCGCCUCCACUGCUCAUAAUUAAGAGUGCUACCAGUAUAAGAUCUCCUAUUGGCUACUCCUAAGUGUCUGAAAUAAUGGUGUGAGACUUAAGAUAUAAGUGAUAUUUGGUAAGUCUAUCAGGAAUUUAUACAGAGCGAGUACAAAAUAUGCGAAUAAGCGUAAGUGUUUAUAUAAAAAUCGCGUGAUACAACCAAUGAUUUCUACAUAGAUAAAUAUCAUUGCGAGUCUUAUUUUGAACGUAAUUAUUGUAGAUUACAGUUAUACCCGCACAGAUACAUGCCAGCGUGUAGUUUUAUUGUGACCUCACUGUCCUUAAGAAUUAUAUCUUUGAAUAUUUAAUAAUAGUUCCAGCGUGUGAGUGCCUUAUCUGAGGAUACAGCGAUUAACUCUAACUUGUGAUCAAAUGUCUCUUUCUUCUGUGUGGUAUUAUAUCUACGGUUGUAUUAGUUUAACUUUAAAUAUGAUAUAAAUUAGAUAUAAAAAUCACUUUACAUAUAUAUUAGAGUGCUAUAUUAAGUUAUUUAUAUAUAUAUAUAUCUCGUAUCUCUAUUAACAUGCCCGAUAAUAGUAUUAUUUAUAUUGGUUCAACCUCGGGAGGGGGCUAAAUAAUUGAUAGCAAGUUGAAUAGUUUAAAGGGUCUAAUUAUUAUUUUGUCUAUAUACAUAUAUAGAACAGUGAUCACAACUAUUAAUUUGUCUCUCUUAGCCGAAUUAGAACAUUUAUUAACAAUACUUAUUGUAAUAUUCGUAUAUAUAGGACACUCGUACAGGAUUGGCGAGUAAGUUAGUUGAGUUAGUUAUCAAUACCAAAACCGUAGUAUCGCGAGUUUUGGGUGUCUUCACCGGACUGAAUAAUGGGUGGCUGGAUGUGGAUAUUUAUGAAACUUUUAGAUACGCUGUAUAACUAUAUGAGAUUAUCAUUUUUUUUCGAACAGAAACUAAGCGAGUGCGCAGUAUCUUGCGCCAAGUCAAAUCAAAAAUCAAGAAUUACAUCUAUCGAUACAAAAGAUGAGUCAGUGUUAAAAAUGUAGUACAAUUCAAAUCAUCAAAUGCGCUGUUUCCUUGUUGUGUUUUCUAUUUACAACAUACUGGAUAAUCUCUAGUAAUCUGAAUUAUAUUACCCGACUAACAUACACAUAUGUCAAGGGCUGUCAUACAUACAAAGUCAUAAUAUCAAAAGAAGAAAGGUUGCAUUGACUUUUACCAUGUCCUUUUAAAAGAUUUAAAAUACAAACCAUGAUAUUACUAACUUUUUAACCAACUCUUUACAGGAUCGUUACUAUUAAAACUAAAAUAAAACUAGAAAUACAACUAAAUCGAUAAACUACCAAGUGGCAUAUAUGUAUGUAGACGAAACGCGCGUCUGGCGUACUAAAUUAUAAUCCUGGUACUUUUGAUAACUAUAUAUAAUCAUCAGGAAAAGAACACAAACAAAGGUUAAAAAACUGGAAACAAUUCUUAAAUAUCAUUUGAACUAUAUGAAAGACGUUGAUUUGAUUAUUUUGAUUGUUUCUUGCUGGGUACUCUGACAUCUUUUUAUAUAUCAGUGUUGUCUUAUGAUACUUUGAAUAUAGAGUAUAGUGCCCCGUAGAACUUCACAUCUCGGGAGGGGGGUAUAGCUGUUUUAUUGUCAUAAAAACGUGAUCCAAGUAUUUCUAAAAGUUUAUUAACAUAGACCAUUCAUAAUAAAAACAGGAUGCAAUUGUCUGGAUGUGAUUUAUAACUUAGAUACGCUAUAAUAAUAAAUUUAGAAGAAAUAACAUGGUUGCCGUCAUUAACUAUUCGUACGUGAAGUGUAUGAUCCCAAUAAUGCAUGGAUAAUAAAAGAUUUGAUCUAUUACAGGGUCUUAAAUGGAUAUCAUUGAUUAUUCUUCUUGGGACACUCUUUUUUAACCUCUUGGUGGUGGUGCUUUUGAUUUCAAGAAAUCAUAAAUCAAGAAUGCGAUUCUUCGUCAUUAACCUCGCUAUUGCAGGUAAGGAUUGUAUAUUAACUACCAUAGAGCAACUCAGAUUCUUUGAAUUCCAAAAAUAUGGCUAAGGUAAGCUAUGCCUGGAAUAAGACAAUCCUUAGUAUUUGGGAAAAAACAUACUUUUGUAAACAGAAAAUUUAUAAAAAUUAGUAAAUAAUUUAUAUUUAUGUCAAUACCAGAAUAUCUUUGUGAACUAAACGUGUAAUCUAUCUGAAACUGUGAAUUUAAUGUUCAAAUUCAAGGAUAAUUCUUUUGAUCUGGUUUUUAGAAAUAUUUUGAUUAAAUGCUUUUAAACAUAUUUAACUUCCUACUUGUAUUUUUGUGUUCAAAUCAAAGUAUAUAUUUAUCAGAAAUAUUUGAAAUCGUAUUUCGGUUGACUUAUCAUAAAGUAGAAACAUAUAUAUUUAUUUUUACGUUUUCUUCAUAAUCGAAAUAUACUACGUCAGAAAUUACAGAUAAUGUAUCAAACAGCUUUCUAAAGUGCAAAUGCAAUUACAGUUGUCAAUAUAUAUCAUGUUAUUUGUCAUGACUGCCAAGAAAAACAUCCAUUUAACAAAAAAUCACUGAGAACUACUUUAUAGUUAUCUGAUUUGACAAUGAGAUCUUGUGUUUGUCUGAUACAUAGAAAGUAGCUAUAACAUACCUAUAUACUGUAUUGUAUACAUAUUAAAGAUGCUAUUAAAUAUAUUCGGGCAAACAGAACUUCAUUUAUGUAAUUUAUUGAAUUGAUAUAUUAAUUUAGUUAGUGAACUGUUAUGUUAAUCAUUCUAAUUUAUUUCCGAAAACAAACUAAUUCCAAUGCUUAUAAAUCAUUUGUAAAUGUUUGUUUUGACAGUUCCUCAAUUCCAUUAAGUAUGUUUAAGACAGUAUCUAAAAAGACAAAAAGUGGG